AUUGAACGCUGGCGGCAUGCUUUACACAUGCAAGUCGAACGGUAACAGGUUAAGCUGACGAGUGGCGAACGGGUGAGUAGUGCAUCGGAACGUGCCCGAUCGUGGGGGAUAACGCAGCGAAAGCUGCGCUAAUACCGCAUACGAUCUGAGGAUGAAAGCGGGGGACCGUAAGGCCUCGCGCGAUCGGAGCGGCUGAUGUCAGAUUAGGUAGUUGGUGGGGUAAAGGCUCACCAAGCCAACGAUCUGUAGCUGGUCUGAGAGGACGACCAGCCACACUGGGACUGAGACACGGCCCAGACUCCUACGGGAGGCAGCAGUGGGGAAUUUUGGACAAUGGGCGAAAGCCUGAUCCAGCAAUGCCGCGCGCAGGAAGAAGGCCUUCGGGUUGUAAACUGCUUUUGUACGGAGCGAAAAGGUUCUCUCUAAUACAGAGGGCUCAUGACGGUACCGUAAGAAUAAGCACCGGCUAACUACGUGCCAGCCGCCGCAGUAA
RNAcentral lists this ribosomal RNA (493 nucleotides) under uncultured bacterium. Its description in RNAcentral is "partial 16S ribosomal RNA". It matches the Rfam family "Bacterial small subunit ribosomal RNA", at positions 30 to 523 of the family's 1533-position model. The record is from RNAcentral.